GACGAACGCUGGCGGCGUGCUUAACACAUGCAAGUCGAGCGGUAAGGCCCUUUCGGGGGUACACGAGCGGCGAACGGGUGAGUAACACGUGGGUGACCUGCCCUCAGCUCUGGGAUAAGCCUGGGAAACUGGGUCUAAUACUGGAUAUGACUCCACGGUGCAUGUCGUGGGGUGGAAAGCCUUGUGCGGCUGAGGAGGGGCCCG
RNAcentral lists this ribosomal RNA (204 nucleotides) under uncultured bacterium. RNAcentral's name for it is "partial 16S ribosomal RNA". It matches the Rfam family "Bacterial small subunit ribosomal RNA", at positions 28 to 233 of the family's 1533-position model. The record is from RNAcentral.